GACGAACGCUGGCGGCGUGCUUAACACAUGCAUGUCGAACGGUAAGGCCCUUCGGGGUACACGAGUGGCGAACGGGUGAGUAACACGUGGGUGAUCUGCCCUGCACUUCGGGAUAAGCCUGGGAAACUGGGUCUAAUACCGGAUAGGACCACUGCCUGCAUGGGUGGUGGUGGAAAGCUUUUGCGGUGUGGGAUGGGCCCGCGGCCUAUCAGCUUGUUGGUGGGGUGAUGGCCUACCAAGGCGAUGACGGGUAGCCGGCCUGAGAGGGUGACCGGCCACACUGGGACUGAGAUACGGCCCAGACUCCUACGGGAGGCAGCAGUGGGGAAUAUUGCACAAUGGGCGCAAGCCUGAUGCAGCGACGCCGCGUGAGGGAUGACGGCCUUCGGGUUGUAAACCUCUUUCAGCACCGACGAAGCGCAAGUGACGGUAGGUGCAGAAGAAGGACCGGCCAACUACGUGCCAGCAGCCGCAGUAA
This 478-nucleotide ribosomal RNA is filed under the name uncultured bacterium. RNAcentral's name for it is "partial 16S ribosomal RNA". It matches the Rfam family "Bacterial small subunit ribosomal RNA", at positions 28 to 523 of the family's 1533-position model. The record is from RNAcentral.